RNAcentral lists this ribosomal RNA (85 nucleotides) under Triticum aestivum (bread wheat). Lineage: Eukaryota; Viridiplantae; Streptophyta; Magnoliopsida; Poales; Poaceae. The record is from RNAcentral.
GGAUGCGAUCAUACCAGCACUAAAGCACUGGGCGAGAGUAGUACUAGGAUGGGUGACCUCCUGGGAAGUCCUCGUGUUGCAUUCC